GUGUACUUAGCUCAAUGGUUAGAGCAUCACUCUUGAAUGCUGAGUAUGUGAGCUUGACUCUCAAAGUACACA
Puccinia triticina 1-1 BBBD Race 1 is the source of this 72-nucleotide transfer RNA. It matches the Rfam family "tRNA". Rfam says of the family: Transfer RNA (tRNA) molecules are approximately 80 nucleotides in length. Their secondary structure includes four short double-helical elements and three loops (D, anti-codon, and T loops). The record is from Rfam. Lineage: Eukaryota; Fungi; Basidiomycota; Pucciniomycetes; Pucciniales; Pucciniaceae.